This 454-nucleotide ribosomal RNA is filed under the name Campylobacter gracilis. Its description in RNAcentral is "bacterial SSU rRNA". It matches the Rfam family "Bacterial small subunit ribosomal RNA", at positions 29 to 500 of the family's 1533-position model. Lineage: Bacteria; Pseudomonadati; Campylobacterota; Epsilonproteobacteria; Campylobacterales; Campylobacteraceae. The record is from RNAcentral.
AGUGAACGCUGGCGGCGUGCCUAAUACAUGCAAGUCGAACGGAAUUUAAAAGAGCUUGCUCUUUUAAAUUUAGUGGCGCACGGGUGAGUAAUAUAUAGCUAAUCUGCCCUUUGCUGGAGGACAACAGUUAGAAAUGACUGCUAAUACUCCAUACUCCUUUUUACCAUAAGAUAAAUCGGGAAAGAAUUUCGGCAAGGGAUGAGACUAUAUCGUAUCAGCUAGUCGGUGGGGUAACGGCCUACCGAGGCUAUGACGCGUAACUGGUCUGAGAGGAUGAUCAGUCACAUUGGAACUGAGACACGGUCCAAACUCCUACGGGAGGCAGCAGUAGGGAAUAUUGCGCAAUGGGGGAAACCCUGACGCAGCAACGCCGCGUGGAGGAUGACACUUUUCGGAGCGUAAACUCCUUUUGUUAGGGAAGAAUAAUGACGGACCAACGAAAAGCACCGCAUCC